Molecule: non-coding RNA, 24 nt
Filed under: Cricetulus griseus (Chinese hamster)
Lineage: Eukaryota; Metazoa; Chordata; Mammalia; Rodentia; Cricetidae
Source: RNAcentral
CGUGAUGUGUAAAACCUUUGAUAU